AUAAAUGUCAAUAAAGUUAAUUCUAUUCUAUUCUAUCAGCUUAAUAUCUGAUACGCCCCGCAUGCGGGGCCAGUAUAUUAAACUGAUUUUUGGAAAUUGAUGGGGGUUAGGGGCUUGCUCCACCCCCGUCGCGGGUUGGCCCGGCAUUGCAGUACCACCGGGAUCGGCCCACUGUUA
Molecule: small nuclear RNA, 177 nt
Filed under: Anoplophora glabripennis (Asian longhorned beetle)
Lineage: Eukaryota; Metazoa; Arthropoda; Insecta; Coleoptera; Cerambycidae
Description: U2 spliceosomal RNA
Rfam family: U2 spliceosomal RNA
About the family: U2 is a small nuclear RNA (snRNA) component of the spliceosome (involved in pre-mRNA splicing). Complementary binding between U2 snRNA (in an area lying towards the 5' end but 3' to hairpin I) and the branchpoint sequence (BPS) of the intron results the bulging out of an unpaired adenosine, on the BPS, which initiates a nucleophilic attack at the intronic 5' splice site, thus starting the first of two transesterification reactions that mediate splicing.
Source: RNAcentral